GACGAACGCUGGCGGCGUGCUUAACACAUGCAAGUCGAACGGAAAGGCCCCUUUGGGGGUCCUCGAGUGGCGCACGGGUGAGUAACACGUGAGUAACCUGCCCUUGACUUCGGGAUAACUUCAGGAAACUGGGGCUAAUACCGGAUAGGAAUCCUUGCUGCAUGGUGGGGGUUGGAAAGCUUCGGCGGUUUUGGAUGGACUCGCGGCUUAUCAGCUUGUUGGUGGGGUAGUGGCUUACCAAGGCUUUGACGGGUAGCCGGCCUGAGAGGGCGACCGGCCACAUUGGGACUGAGAUACGGCCCAGACUCCUACGGGAGGCAGCAGUGGGGAAUAUUGCACAAGGGGCGGAAGCCUGAUGCAGCAACGCCGCGUGCGGGAUGACGGCCUUCGGGUUGUAAACCGCUUUCAGCAGGGGCGAAGCUUGUGGUGACGGUACCUGCAGAAGAAGCACCGGCUAACUACGUG
This 465-nucleotide ribosomal RNA is filed under the name uncultured bacterium. Its description in RNAcentral is "partial 16S ribosomal RNA". It matches the Rfam family "Bacterial small subunit ribosomal RNA", at positions 28 to 507 of the family's 1533-position model. The record is from RNAcentral.